GUGGAUGUAGCUCAGUGGUAGAGUGCCCGCUCAGCAUGUGUGAGGUCAUGGGUUCAAUCCCCAGUAUCUCCA
RNAcentral lists this transfer RNA (72 nucleotides) under Camelus bactrianus (Bactrian camel). It matches the Rfam family "tRNA". From Rfam's summary of the family: Transfer RNA (tRNA) molecules are approximately 80 nucleotides in length. RNAcentral also lists the same sequence under 1 other name. The record is from Rfam by way of RNAcentral. Lineage: Eukaryota; Metazoa; Chordata; Mammalia; Artiodactyla; Camelidae.